RNAcentral lists this ribosomal RNA (476 nucleotides) under uncultured bacterium. RNAcentral describes it as "bacterial SSU rRNA". It matches the Rfam family "Bacterial small subunit ribosomal RNA", at positions 8 to 526 of the family's 1533-position model. The record is from RNAcentral.
AGAGUUUGAUCCUGGCUCAGAACGAACGCUGGCGGCAUGCCUAACACAUGCAAGUCGAACGCCCUGGGCAACCAGGGAGUGGCGGACGGGUGAGUAACGCGUGGGGACCUGCCUCGAAGUUCGGAAUAACCGCGGGAAACUGCGGCUAAUACCGGAUGUGGCCUGAGGGCCAAAGGGGAAACUCGCUUCGAGAGGGGCCCGCGUCCGAUUAGCUAGUUGGCGGGGUAACGGCCCACCAAGGCGACGAUCGGUAGCUGGUCUGAGAGGAUGAUCAGCCACACUGGGACUGAGACACGGCCCAGACUCCUACGGGAGGCAGCAGUGGGGAAUAUUGGACAAUGGGGGCAACCCUGAUCCAGCAAUGCCGCGUGAGUGAUGAAGGCCUUCGGGUUGUAAAGCUCUUUUGGCGGGGACGAUGAUGACGGUACCCGCAGAAUAAGCCCCGGCUAACUUCGUGCCAGCCGCCGCGGUAAUAC